Molecule: non-coding RNA, 73 nt
Organism: Ictidomys tridecemlineatus (thirteen-lined ground squirrel)
Lineage: Eukaryota; Metazoa; Chordata; Mammalia; Rodentia; Sciuridae
Source: Rfam
GAGGAUAUAGCUCAGUUGGUAGAGGGUUUGCCUUGCAUGCACAAGGCCCUGGGUUCAAUCCCCAGUCCCCUCC